UACGUAGGGUGCAAGCGUUGUCCGGAAUUAUUGGGCGUAAAGAGCUCGUAGGCGGUCUGUCGCGUCGGACGUGAAAAUCCAGGGCUCAACCCUGGACCUGCGUUCGAUACGGGCAGACUAGAGUUCGGUAGGGGAGACUGGAAUUCCUGGUGUAGCGGUGAAAUGCGCAGAUAUCAGGAGGAACACCGAUGGCGAAGGCAGGUCUCUGGGCUGACACUGACGCUCAUGCACGAAAGCGUGGGGAGCAAACAGG
Molecule: ribosomal RNA, 253 nt
Filed under: uncultured bacterium
Lineage: Bacteria
Description: partial 16S ribosomal RNA
Rfam family: Bacterial small subunit ribosomal RNA
Source: RNAcentral